Molecule: ribosomal RNA, 765 nt
Filed under: uncultured Bacillota bacterium
Lineage: Bacteria; Bacillati; Bacillota
Description: bacterial SSU rRNA
Rfam family: Bacterial small subunit ribosomal RNA
Source: RNAcentral
AGCGCAGGUGGUUUCUUAAGUCUGAUGUGAAAGCCCACGGCUCAACCGUGGAGGGUCAUUGGAAACUGGGGAACUUGAGUACAGAAGAGGAAUGUGGAACUCCAUGUGUAGCGGUGGAAUGCGUAGAUAUAUGGAAGAACACCAGUGGCGAAGGCGACAUUCUGGUCUGUUACUGACACUGAGGCUCGAAAGCGUGGGGAGCAAACAGGAUUAGAUACCCUGGUAGUCCACGCCGUAAACGAUGAGUGCUAGGUGUUGGAGGGUUUCCGCCCUUCAGUGCCGCAGUUAACGCAUUAAGCACUCCGCCUGGGGAGUACGACCGCAAGGUUGAAACUCAAAGGAAUUGACGGGGACCCGCACAAGUAGCGGAGCAUGUGGUUUAAUUCGAAGCAACGCGAAGAACCUUACCUAAGCUUGACAUCCUUUUGACCGAUGCCUAAUCGCAUCUUUCCCUUAGGGGACAGAAGUGACAGGUGGUGCAUGGUUGUCGUCAGCUCGUGUCGUGAGAUGUUGGGUUAAGUCCCGCAACGAGCGCAACCCUUGCCUUUAGUUGCCAGCAUUAAGUUGGGCACUCUAGAGGGACUGCCAGGGAUAACCUGGAGGAAGGUGGGGAUGACGUCAAAUCAUCAUGCCCCUUAUGCUUAGGGCUACACACGUGCUACAAUGGGUGGUACAGAGGGCAGCCAAGUCGUGAGGCCGAGCUAAUCCCUUAAAGCCAUUCUCAGUUCGGAUUGUAGGCUGAAACUCGCCUACAUGAAGCUGGAG